RNAcentral lists this long non-coding RNA (1019 nucleotides) under Sus scrofa (pig). Its description in RNAcentral is "lncRNA (ENSSSCG00060032886.1)". The record is from RNAcentral. Lineage: Eukaryota; Metazoa; Chordata; Mammalia; Artiodactyla; Suidae.
GUUUCUACUGGUUUAUUUAUGCUUGCUUUAAAAGCUUCCACAGUCUUGUGGGGGAAACAUUCAUGAAACAAAACAUUACAGUCCCAUGAAAUAAGCCUUAUCAUAAAAUCAACCCCAUUUGCGGAGAUGAUGUCUGGAGAACCCUAAAACCUGAAUGAGGAUCCCUUCUCUUUCACUCCCAACUCCCAGAUACUUGUCACUUCUGGUAAACCAGUUACUAGGAACUAUAGGUAUAAAACCCUGGGUACUGUUGGGAUUCCAGCAGAGAACCAAUAUGAUGCUUUUUCUCUACAAGGGCCAAACAAGAAAAGAGCAUCAGACUUCAAACCUGAGAACCAGAAAGCUUCAUGAAGAUCUGAGGAAGAGCUUGGUGAUCAGAGACCUGUGAACCCACUUAGAGAGUCAACUAUGGUCCUCUUAGCAUAUGAUGUGCUCGCUUCUAAUUCACGACUGGCUAAGAAAGACCCAACAAAUAGUUGAGUCUUCCCCAGUCCGUGAGUCAGGGAGAAUAUAGGGAUACCACCGAAGAAAUAAGACUUCUCUAGAAGCCUCUUCAGGAGACAGACAGCAUCCAGUCAGCCUACAUGAGCUUCCAGGCAGCAGGGAAAAUGAGAAAAGAACAGAAGCAAUUGAAGCAACACAACCAUAUCUAAGAUUUUUAUUGCCCAACGUUAAAGAAGAAUUACAACGGUUACUUACUUUUAUGGCUCUUGCAUCAGAACCUAAUGCCUACAAGGUGCAAAAACAGUUUGCUAACAAAACGGUGGUCCUGAAAACUCUUGCCAAAGCAGUUUUGCAAUCCAGAUCAUUAUUAAAACUCCGGACAGAACGACUAGUCUUAUUUCUACUGGAGUUUCAUUCUGAGCUCUUCAAGGUACCUCUGGCACUUUGCCUGGGCACAUUUAUUACUAAGCUACUUGUCAAACAAAAAGGCAAAUCAUUCACUUAAUAAAUAAUUUACUGAGUACCUAUAAUGUGCAAAGUUUGAAGUAAUGCUCCCUCCCCACACCCGCUCAAGA